UAGGGAAUCUUCCGCAAUGGACGCAAGUCUGACGGAGCAACGCCGCGUGAGUGAAGAAGGAUUUCGGUUCGUAAAACUCUGUUGUUAGAGAAGAACAGCGCAUAGAGUAACUGUUAUGCGUGUGACGGUAUCUAACCAGAAAGCCACCGCUAACUACGUGCCAGCAGCCGCGGUAAUACGUAGGUGGCCAGCGUUUUCCGGAUUUUUUGGGCGUAAAGCGAGCGCAGGCGGUCAAUUAAGUCUGAUGUGAAAGCCCCCGGCUCAACCGGGGAGGGUCAUUGGAAACUGGGUGACUUGAGUGCAGAAGAGGAGAGUGGAAUUCCAUGUGUAGCGGUGAAAUGCGUAGAUAUAUGGAGGAACACCAGUGGCGAAGGCGACUCUCUGGUCUGUAACUGACGCUGAGGCUCGAAAGCGUGGGUAGCAAACAGG
RNAcentral lists this ribosomal RNA (429 nucleotides) under Bacteroidota bacterium. Its description in RNAcentral is "Bacteroidetes bacterium partial 16S ribosomal RNA". It matches the Rfam family "Bacterial small subunit ribosomal RNA", at positions 355 to 776 of the family's 1533-position model. Lineage: Bacteria; Pseudomonadati; Bacteroidota. The record is from RNAcentral.